CUCACAGGUUCUUCUCUUUUUCCCCUGGUGGGGAGAUAUAAACAUGGUUGGCAUAAUGGCAGAGGGACUUCUCAGAGAAAAACAAUAUGUCUCUUUUUUUUUUAAUAGCUCUACAUCAGAAUUUCUUUCAAAUUGUAGGGGAAUUCUUCACUUAUUUAGUGUCACGUAUAGCUAAUAUUUUUUCAUUUUUCAUAAAAGGCUAAUAAAACCCAUGUGGUUAAAUAAUUGGUUUUCAGGAUUGCUUCUGUGAUGGGUGUUUGUCUUUAUUCCAUCACAAACUGUCAUACUGUGCCUGUUACUCUGCUGUGUUACUGUGAGGAGGAGCUCAGUACAGUUGAACCAGAUGCAGUUGCACAGAAUAUAUCACUUCCCAAGAGUAAUUAAUUUGGCCACUAUGAUGUUUAUCUUGCUUUAGUCUGAUUUUUUUUUUUCCCAGCUUUGGCUUUCAUUAGUGUGCUGUCCUCCCUUGUCUGUCACCUGCCAGAAGACAGCACCAUUUUUCUGUGGGUUUGGAGGGGAGCUGCCAUAGGCUGCAUUCUGGUUUGUUCCUGGGCAAGUGCCUGACCAUGAAACAGUCACACUGCACAGCUCCCCAUGUGCACCAUUUAUAGAAGGACCAAGGGCUGCAGCUUGUCCUGCAGUCCUAACAGAGAUCAAGCUGUUACAAGGCAUAUUUCUAAGAAGCUGAGAUUAACAUCUGUCCAUAAUGAAGACAGUCUGGAUAAAAUCUCUUCAGAAGUGAUUAAGGGAAAAUGCAGAAUUUACUUUCACUGAGAAGACUCAGGACAGAGGAAUCCUGCCCACAGGGUCACUGCCCCGCUGCCCAUCAAUACGGCCUUGGUCCCUCCUGCAGCCCCUUGAGCUCAGCCUCUGUGAGUGCCUAUCUACCUUCAAUGGAGAAAUGGUAACACUUCCAUGCUCAACAAAGUCAGUGUCUCAAAUCUAUUUGGAGGAGUGGCAGCUUG
Molecule: long non-coding RNA, 965 nt
Filed under: Phasianus colchicus (ring-necked pheasant)
Lineage: Eukaryota; Metazoa; Chordata; Aves; Galliformes; Phasianidae
Description: lncRNA (ENSPCLG00000003259.1)
Source: RNAcentral